Molecule: non-coding RNA, 444 nt
Organism: Arachis ipaensis
Lineage: Eukaryota; Viridiplantae; Streptophyta; Magnoliopsida; Fabales; Fabaceae
Source: RefSeq, a predicted model, not a curated record
UGAAGCUUCUGCACUGUUGCUGCCGAAGGAGGAGGAAGCCUUGCCAUUGUUCUGGUCGCCAGGAGCAGUCCGGUGGCUACCGGAACCACUGUCGGGGAUGCUGCCGCUUGGCUCAGUCACUUCUCCUUAGUUACGGGCUGAGUUCGAGUUAUGGCAUGUCACGGUUAGAGUUGUUGUUGCUGUUACGAGUAGUUGGGGCUGAGGUUGCCUCCGUCGCCGGAGCUGUGCCGGGGCCGGUUCGAAACCGCAGCUGCUUCGUGUUGUUAUUCCGAGCUGUUUAUGCUGCUGCGAAAAUGUGUGGGGCUGUGCUUUGAAGCUGCCUUUGAUUUUGAGUUGAGGUGAAAAGAACUUAUGAGGCGCUUGGAUUAUGGAAUUGUGUUUUGAGGAUAUGGGCGCAGAAGUUACAAAGAGCUUAUUUAAUUGUUGUUGUGAUGCUCUGUAUUG